GGGAAGGGUAGAAAUGAAACCCAGAGGGAGGGGAGGGGUCAGUGUGGGAAGGAGAAGUUCUCUCCUGGUCUGACUGUGGCAUGAAAGGAAGGGUGAGUUCUGACUGGGGGACACGAGUCCCUGUCUGAUUCUAUUGUUGAGGUGAUGUGGGUUCUCUUUAGAUAAAUCUUGCUUCCAGCCACUGUUUCAGUUCGAGGACAUGCAGGAAAUCAUUCAGAACUUUGUGCGGGUUCAUGUGGAUGCCCCUGGAAUGGAAGAGGGAGCCCCUGUGUUCCCUUUGGGAUAUCAGUACCCAUCUCUGGACCAGCUUGCAGACAUGAUCCCUUGCGUCCUGCAGUACCUAAAGUGAGAGGCCUGGGAACCCCUCCAAACCAGAGUUCUCUUUCCAGCACAAGGAGACCCUUAGAACUUCCAGGUUCACCGUGGUUCCUGAGCCAGUUUCAGCUUCUGAACUCAAUAUAUCUUCUUCCUUCAUGCUCCCGCCUUGAUUAUUGAGAAAAGGUGGUGGGUUUGGAAAAUUGGCCAGAGUCAACAGAAUAGCCCUAAUGGGUGGAGGGAAGGAAAAGGGUCUAUGCUUGGCCCUGCCUCAGGCUAAGGAGGGCCUUCUCUGAUCAGAAAGUCAGGGAGGAAUGAAAGGGGGUGACAUAAUCCCUGAGGAACCAGAUAGACCUGUCUCUUUCUCUCCCACUCCCCUCUCCUUCAUGCCCACACCUGGUGGAUGGGGAGCUCUGCGGGUGAGAGAGAG
This 745-nucleotide long non-coding RNA is filed under the name Homo sapiens (human). RNAcentral's name for it is "non-protein coding lnc-RNASE13-3:1". Lineage: Eukaryota; Metazoa; Chordata; Mammalia; Primates; Hominidae. The record is from RNAcentral.